This 465-nucleotide ribosomal RNA is filed under the name uncultured bacterium. RNAcentral's name for it is "partial 16S ribosomal RNA". It matches the Rfam family "Bacterial small subunit ribosomal RNA", at positions 28 to 507 of the family's 1533-position model. The record is from RNAcentral.
GAUGAACGCUGGCGGCGUGCUUAACACAUGCAAGUCGAACGGAAAGGCUCCUGCUUGCCGGGGUACUCGAGUGGCGAACGGGUGAGUAACACGUGGGUGAUCUGCCCUGCACUUCGGGAUAAGCCUGGGAAACUGGGUCUAAUACCGGAUAGGACCACAUUUUGGAUGGUGCGGUGGAAAGUUUUUCGGUGUGGGAUGAGCUCGCGGCCUAUCAGCUUGUUGGGGGGGUAAUGGCCUACCAAGGCGUCGACGGGCAGCCGGCCUGAGAGGGUGUACGGCCUCAAUGGGACUGAGGUACGGCCCAGAGUAGGACGUGAGGAAGGGGUGGGAGAUAAUGAGGAGUGGGCGCACGCGUGAUGCAGCGACGUCGCGGGGGGGGUGACGGCCUAGGGGGUGCGAGAUGAUGUUGCUUAGGACGAAACGAAAGGGACGGUGCCUGGGGAGGAAGCAUCGGCGAACGACGUG